Molecule: ribosomal RNA, 429 nt
Filed under: uncultured bacterium
Lineage: Bacteria
Description: bacterial SSU rRNA
Rfam family: Bacterial small subunit ribosomal RNA
Source: RNAcentral
UGGGGAAUUUUGGACAAUGGGCGCAAGCCUGAUCCAGCAAUGCCGCGUGCAGGAAGAAGGCCUUCGGGUUGUAAACUGCUUUUGUACGGAACGAAACGGUCUGGGUUAAUACCCUGGGCUAAUGACGGUACCGUAAGAAUAAGCACCGGCUAACUACGUGCCAGCAGCCGCGGUAAUACGUAGGGUGCAAGCGUUAAUCGGAAUUACUGGGCGUAAAGCGUGCGCAGGCGGUUUUGUAAGACAGGCGUGAAAUCCCCGGGCUCAACCUGGGAAUUGCGCUUGUGACUGCAAAGCUGGAGUGCGGCAGAGGGGGAUGGAAUUCCGCGUGUAGCAGUGAAAUGCGUAGAUAUGCGGAGGAACACCGAUGGCGAAGGCAAUCCCCUGGGCCUGCACUGACGCUCAUGCACGAAAGCGUGGGGAGCAAACAGG